UAAUUUUAUACAUUGUUUAUAUUUUUUACGUAUAUUUAAUAUAUUUAAGUACAAUUUGCGGAUUUUAGAAAUGAAUAUGUAAUUAAAAUAUAAUUAUUUUAUCUCAUUUUGAAUACUUUAAUGACUUACGAAAUCAAAAUGUAUUUUCGAAUUUUACGUUAAAACGAAUUCGAAUUACGAAAAUCGAUUAAAUUUAGAAAACGAUCCUAUCCGAUUUUGGAUUCGAAUCCUAAAACUAAAUUCCUAAGUCUAGCCCAAUUGAAUAAAGCCCAAUAUUAUAAACCCAUAACCCCAUACUUCUACUCCAUGUAAAACACAAAACACAAAACACCAAACCCCUCUAUUCCUACUUCACGUAAAAACCAAAAAGGGCAAAACCCAUCUCUCUCCUUUCCUGCUUCCUCUUCCUCCCUCUGCCCAGCCGCCGACCACCACGAGCACGCCACCAAGGCCGCCAGACCACCUCGCCGCCACGUCGCUGACCACCAGCUCUCACCACCACCUUGCUCGCGCAGCCCCCGCGUCGCCACCCAGCCUGCGCCGCCGCUGCCUUGUCCCUGCUCGCCGCCACCGCAAGUAGCACCACCGUGUGCCGCCGUCUCUCAGCCCUGCCGCAAGCCACCUCUGUCCGCCAGCCAACUCUCUCUCCUCCUUCUUGAAUUGGCGGAGAAUUCUCUUUAGGCGACUUUUGAAAGUGUUAAAGUGGCCUAUCAGUUUGUUUACACAAGUCUCUAAGGAUCAAUAAGCGUUGCCCAUCUACAGGUUUGAAGAUGAUGCAUCAUUGGGAUCGGGAUUAGAGAGCUUGUAGUUCUAUUCGUUUAAUUAAGUGAUUUAAUUUGUUAACUUGGAUUUGAAAUUUGUCGUACUAUUCGUAUUUCCUUAAUUCAGUUAAUUGGUUUGGACCUAAUAUGUAAUAGAUUAUUUAUGAACCUAAAAGUUAGUUUUAUGUUUUCCGCUGCAAAA
This is a long non-coding RNA of Spinacia oleracea (spinach), 963 nucleotides long. RefSeq lists it as uncharacterized. The record is from RefSeq and is a predicted model, not a curated record. The transcript is spliced from 5 exons. Lineage: Eukaryota; Viridiplantae; Streptophyta; Magnoliopsida; Caryophyllales; Amaranthaceae.